AGCUCCAAUAGCGUAUAUUAAAGUUGUUGCAGUUAAAAAGCUCGUAGUCGGAUUUUGGAUUGUGUGUAAUGGUCUGCCGUGAGGUAUGCACUGUUGCGCGCUUUCUUCUUCUCAAAGACUGUGUGUGCUCUUAAUUGAGUGUGCUCAGGGUUUGGGACUUUUACUGUGAGAAAAUUAGAGUGUUUAAAGCAGGCGUUUGCUUGAAUAUUGCAGCAUGGAAUAAUGGAAUAGGAUCACGAUCUUAUUUUGUUGGUUUCUAGGAUCGAGAUAAUGAUUAAUAGGGAUAGUUGGGGACAUUAAUAUUUAAUUGUCAGAGGUGAAAUUCUUGGAUUUAUGAAAGAUUAACUUCUGCGAAAGCAUUUGUCAAGGAUGUUUUCGUUG
RNAcentral lists this ribosomal RNA (381 nucleotides) under Sphaeroforma sp. RNAcentral describes it as "partial small subunit ribosomal RNA". It matches the Rfam family "Eukaryotic small subunit ribosomal RNA", at positions 587 to 975 of the family's 1831-position model. Lineage: Eukaryota; Ichthyosporea; Ichthyophonida. The record is from RNAcentral.